Molecule: ribosomal RNA, 230 nt
Filed under: uncultured bacterium
Lineage: Bacteria
Description: partial 16S ribosomal RNA
Rfam family: Bacterial small subunit ribosomal RNA
Source: RNAcentral
UUGAGCCUACGGGGGGCAGCAGUGGGGAAUAUUGCACAAUGGGGGGAACCCUGAUGCAGCGACGCCGCGUGAGUGAAGAAGUAUUUCGGUACGUAAAGCUCUAUCGGCAGGGAAGAAAAAAGGACGGUACCUGAGUAAGAAGCCCCGGCUAACUACGUGCCAGCAGCCGCGGGAAUACGUAGGGGGCAAGCGUUAUCCGGAAUUACUGGGUGUAAAGGGAGCGUAGACGG